RNAcentral lists this ribosomal RNA (412 nucleotides) under uncultured beta proteobacterium. Its description in RNAcentral is "bacterial SSU rRNA". It matches the Rfam family "Bacterial small subunit ribosomal RNA", at positions 9 to 423 of the family's 1533-position model. Lineage: Bacteria; Pseudomonadati; Pseudomonadota; Betaproteobacteria. The record is from RNAcentral.
GAGUUUGAUCUUGGCUCAGAUUGAACGCUGGCGGCAUGCUUUACACAUGCAAGUCGAGCGGCAGCGCGGGGGCAACCCUGGCGGCGAGCGGCGGACGGGUGAGUAAUGCAUCGGAACGUAUCCCGUAGUGGGGGACAACCCAGCGAAAGCUGGGCUAAUACCGCAUAUGCUCUACGGAGGAAAGUGGGGGACCGCAAGGCCUCACGCUAUGGGAGCGGCCGAUGUCCGAUUAGCUGGUUGGUGGGGUAAUGGCCCACCAAGGCGACGAUCGGUAGCUGGUCUGAGAGGAUGAUCAGCCACACUGGGACUGAGACACGGCCCAGACUCCUACGGGAGGCAGCAGUGGGGAAUUUUGGACAAUGGGGGCAACCCUGAUCCAGCCAUGCCGCGUGCGGGAAGAAGGCCUUCGGUU